UUAUGAAAAAAAUAGCUAGGUUAAAGCGACGAAUGAAAAUGGUGGUAAGGAGAGGAGGAGCGCAAAUUAUGUCUUCAAGACCUACUUGACAAACUUCGUAUGAUUUUAACUAAUGACUUUUGAAACUGACAUUCUCAUUUUCACUGUGCUAAAUUUUUUUCUGAUCUUAUACACACUUUUUCUUUUUAAUUCAGAAGCUCAAGAUCAGCGUCUGCGAACAUUGUGUUAGUUCCGACAAGCUAGGUUUCGAAGGAAACAAUUAAUUAAUUUAAGAAGAGUCUCCACCUUCCCAAACAAUACUACAAAUAAUGUGUUACAGGGAUGCAAUAUUAGUUAAUGCACUUUGGAAUAAGGAAAAUUUUGUCAAGAAUUUGUUAUAGUUUUCAAGAGUUUGUGUUAAAAUAGUUAGUAUUUCUUAUAGAAGUUUAGGGAUGGGUACAUGAUUGGUGAUAGAAAUCCAGUCACGUACUACAUGAAGUUUUAUUUGUUUCCAGUGAUGAAAUGUAAUAUAUGUUUGUAGAGGUUGAUCAAGACCGCUUGGAAAAACUUGUCUGGUGUCGACUUGCAAGAUUUAAAAGAAAACAAUUGCUUUAUUUGAAAAGGAAUUCUGCCUCUGUUGAAAAUAAAGUCCCCGUUAGACAAACUUCUCAACUUAAUCCGUCAACAUCUACAAUUUCCAAUGCCACCCGUAGACAGACAGGUAACUUGUAAAAUAUUUUAAUCAUUAUUUUAAACAAAAGGAUUAGUAAUAUUUAUUGAUGUUUGGUGUCCUUAUAUUGUUUGCAUUAUAAAAAUAUUUAUUUUAUUUAUUAGCUUCCAUUAAUUUCCAAAUCCAAUUAACGUCUUUACUCAACAAAUCUGCCAAGAAUUUUAUUUUAUAUGAAUGA
Molecule: non-coding RNA, 887 nt
Organism: Cicer arietinum (chickpea)
Lineage: Eukaryota; Viridiplantae; Streptophyta; Magnoliopsida; Fabales; Fabaceae
Source: RefSeq, a predicted model, not a curated record